UACGUAGGAGGCAAGCGUUGUCCGGAAUCACUGGGUGUAAAGGGUGCGCAGGUGGAAAGGUAAGUGAGAGGUGAAAUCUUGCGGCUUAACCGCAAAACUGCCUCUCAUACUGCUUUUCUUGAGUACGGAAGAGAAUGAUGGAAUUCCUGGUGUAGCGGUGAAAUGCGUAGAUAUCAGGAAGAACACCAGUGGCGAAGGCGGUCAUUUGGUCCGUUACUGACACUCAAGCACGAAAGCGUGGGGAUCAAACAGG
RNAcentral lists this ribosomal RNA (253 nucleotides) under uncultured bacterium. RNAcentral's name for it is "partial 16S ribosomal RNA". It matches the Rfam family "Bacterial small subunit ribosomal RNA", at positions 524 to 776 of the family's 1533-position model. The record is from RNAcentral.